This 454-nucleotide ribosomal RNA is filed under the name uncultured Rikenellaceae bacterium. RNAcentral describes it as "partial 16S ribosomal RNA". It matches the Rfam family "Bacterial small subunit ribosomal RNA", at positions 341 to 792 of the family's 1533-position model. The record is from RNAcentral. Lineage: Bacteria; Pseudomonadati; Bacteroidota; Bacteroidia; Bacteroidales; Rikenellaceae.
ACGGAAGGCAGCAGUGAGGAGUAUUGGUCAAUGGACGGAAGUCUGAACCAGCCAUGCCGCGUGAAGGAAUAAGGCCCUAUGGGUCGUAAACUUCUUUUGUGGUGGAGCAAUAAGGUGCACGUGUGCAUCGAUGAGAGUACAUCACGAAUAAGCAUCGGCUAACUCCGUGCCAGCAGCCGCGGUAAUACGGAGGAUGCGAGCGUUAUCCGGAUUUAUUGGGUUUAAAGGGUGCGUAGGCUGUUCUUCAAGUCAGAGGUGAAGUACCGGGGCUCAACCCUGGAACUGCCUUUGAUACUGGAGGGCUUGAAUACUGUUGCCGUGGGAGGAAUGAGUAGUGUAGCGGUGAAAUGCAUAGAUAUUACUCAGAACACCGAUUGCGAAGGCAUCUCACGAAGCAGCGAUUGACGCUGAGGCACGAAAGCGUGGGGAUCAAACAGGAUUAGAUACCCUGGUA